CACACAUCUUCCUGGACCCAUGCCAGUGUUGGGUUGAUAGGAUUGUCCUUGCACCUUGGUUGCCUCUUCUCCUUCAUUAAUGGUCUAUCACUGAUAAUGAUGGGGUAGCUUGAAUUCCUCUGCUGUAGUCCUACCUAUUCUGCCGAGUACUUGAUUGCUAAGCACAUCUUUUCUAGAACAUAACAUGUCGUUCAUCCCUGAUUGUGAUGGUGGUACUGUUGAUGGAACAGAUUCAACGGUUGCCAAUCCUGUUGAGUCACUGCUUGAAGAAUUCGGUCCAGUAGAUGCAUCUUCUCUUUAUCCGGGGCCAUACUGUGAAGCCGCUGGUUUAAAAAAGGAGCAUGUGUUGAAUCGUCCAGUUGCCGCAAUUUGUGAAG
This is a long non-coding RNA of Lineus longissimus, 377 nucleotides long. RefSeq lists it as uncharacterized. The transcript has 3 exons. The record is from RefSeq and is a predicted model, not a curated record. NCBI's taxonomy places the organism in Eukaryota, Metazoa, Nemertea, Pilidiophora, Heteronemertea, Lineidae.